AAGAUGUCCACCUUUGAAUCUAUAUUAGUUUCAUUAUUUGGUAAUAUUUUCAUAUAUUUUGACAAAGAAUACCCCCUUGAAUGCACCAGAACUUGCUUUUGAAUAGGCCUUCUAGGACCAAUGCCACAGUCUUCCAUUUGAGCUGAAAGGAGAACCGAAUGUUGUUGUAGCUGACUUAAAUCUAAACAGCAGACUUGAUCUGAAGAUGGCUACUGCUCCCAGAGGCUGAUGAAAUGACAGAACAAGCCAUUCCGUGGAGUUUGACACAGCAUCCGUUGGAUGACAGAUAUUAUCUGUUGACAACACAUCUGAAGGAGAGCAAGUCCUAUUGGGAAGGGAGACGCUGUCCUCAUCUCCCCACCACCAUGCUAUUUCCUCCAAUUAAGAAGUCACAGCAAGCCACACCUAUCUGGGAUUUGGAGGUGGAAGGGCUUCAUGGCAGCACUGCUUGGUCAGCUUUCCUAUGCUGAACAUACUGCUCGCAAGAUGCUGGCAAACAGAAAUGUAUUCUUCAAGAACUAGUAGAAUGUUAGCCAUGCUAGAGAUGACAGCUGGGGCAAUACGUGAAAACAGCCAUUUGAAAUCAGUACAGAUUUUUACACUGAGAUAAAUCCUUGCCCAAUGUGCUUUGGAGAAUACUGAAUUUAGCUGUUGAGGGCAGAACUUACCAUCAAACAAGAAGAAGAUUUCUACAACCUGAAGAGAGGAUUCCAUUGUUUUCAGUCACAAGGGGCAAGACAUACUCUGUUGGCUUACUUCACUAUCUUCUCAUCACAUUUGAUUUCAG
Long non-coding RNA from Varanus komodoensis (Komodo dragon), 787 nucleotides. RefSeq lists it as uncharacterized. NCBI's taxonomy places the organism in Eukaryota, Metazoa, Chordata, Lepidosauria, Squamata, Varanidae. The transcript has 4 exons. The record is from RefSeq and is a predicted model, not a curated record.